This 205-nucleotide unclassified non-coding RNA is filed under the name Lecanoromycetes sp. Its description in RNAcentral is "partial contains small subunit ribosomal RNA, internal transcribed spacer 1, and 5.8S ribosomal RNA". The stretch from base 1 to 46 matches the Rfam family "Eukaryotic small subunit ribosomal RNA", at positions 1786 to 1831 of the family's 1831-position model. The record is from RNAcentral. Lineage: Eukaryota; Fungi; Ascomycota; Lecanoromycetes.
AAGUCGUAACAAGGUUUCCGUAGGUGAACCUGCGGAAGGAUCAUUAUCAAAAGGAACCCUUCGGGGUUAAUCCUCAACCCUUUGUUUAAAUACCAUGCUUCUUUGGCGGGCUUGCCCGUCAGAAGAUUUCUCCAACUCCAUAAAUGUGUCAUCUGAAUAAACAUUAAAUAUAAUAAAACUUUCAACAACGGAUCUCUUGGUUCUG